Molecule: ribosomal RNA, 451 nt
Filed under: uncultured bacterium
Lineage: Bacteria
Description: SSU rRNA
Rfam family: Bacterial small subunit ribosomal RNA
Source: RNAcentral
AGAGCGAACGCUGGCGGCAUGCUUAACACAUGCAAGUCGCACGGGCAGGGGAAACCCUGUCAGUGGCGGACGGGUGAGUAACGCGUAGGUAUCUAUCCUUGGGUGGGGGACAACGGCUGGAAACGGCUGCUAAUACCGCAUGAUGACCAAGGUCUAAAGGCGCAAGUCGCCUGGGGAGGAGCCUGCGUACGAUUAGCUUGUUGGUGGGGUAAAGGCCUACCAAGGCUACGAUCGUUAGCUGGUCUGAGAGGAUGAUCAGCCACAUUGGGACUGAGACACGGCCCAAACUCCUACGGGAGGCAGCAGUGGGGAAUAUUGGACAAUGGGCGCAAGCCUGAUCCAGCAAUGCCGCGUGUGUGAAGAAGGUCUUCGGAUUGUAAAGCACUUUCGACGGGGACGAUGAUGACGGUACCCGUAGAAGAGCCCCGGCUAACUUCGUGCCAGCAGCCGC